Ornithodoros turicata is the source of this 650-nucleotide long non-coding RNA. RefSeq lists it as uncharacterized. The transcript is spliced from 2 exons. The record is from RefSeq and is a predicted model, not a curated record. NCBI's taxonomy places the organism in Eukaryota, Metazoa, Arthropoda, Arachnida, Ixodida, Argasidae.
UCUACCGCAGUGCAUUCGUCGCUGCGUUCGUGCCUGUUGUGUGCGCUGCAACCUCGCCUUUGAAAGGACGACAACCUUGCUUUUCAAUUACAAGUUUAAUGUUUGUUUAAGACGAUGGACACAUUGCAAAUGGCGGCAGGAGUGGAUCGGCUACAUCGGUGAAGCGACGAUUUAUAUUACAAGCGAGGCUAAUUGUAUUCUUUCGUUAUAGGUGAACGUGGGACUGUAUCGACUGCAAGGACUUGAGUUACAACAAGCUGUAAUAUUCUAGCAUUAACGUUUGAACAAUACCAGCGUGAUGUUCACUUCGGUUUCUUUACAGGUAGUGUCCUGUCUCAACGGUCACGCAUAUGCCUGCAAAACUGCAACUGCUUCUCACAUCGAAGAGUGGUCUGGUGCCACAUGCUCGGACAAUUAUUCGUCGGCCAUUUCGUUUGAGGAACUGUCGUGUUCGUCACUAAGGAUGAUCUUGGUUGAGCUUUGCAGUGCCAGCCUGGUGCAUCGGAGGGGUUGUGUCCAUGCAACGUGUGCUCCAUAUGUGUGUGCUGGGAUUAGUGAACCGUGUAUGCUUUCCAUUCGGCCAACAAUGAUGUACUGGAUGAAAUUUAGAGGUAUGUGCACGCCAAAAAAAUUUGGUGUUUCAAGUUCAA